RNAcentral lists this ribosomal RNA (490 nucleotides) under uncultured bacterium. Its description in RNAcentral is "partial 16S ribosomal RNA". It matches the Rfam family "Bacterial small subunit ribosomal RNA", at positions 30 to 507 of the family's 1533-position model. The record is from RNAcentral.
AUUGAACGCUGGCGGCAGGCCUAACACAUGCAAGUCGAACGGUAACAGGAAGAAGCUUGCUUCUUUGCUGACGAGUGGCGGGCGGGUGAGUAAUGUCUGGGAAACUGCCUGAUGGAGGGGGAUAACUACUGGAAACGGUAGCUAAUACCGCAUAACGUCGCAAGACCAAAAAGGGGGACCUUCGGGCCUCUUGCCAUCGGAUGUGCCCAGAUGGGAUUAGCUAGUAGGUGGGGUAACGGCUCACCUAGGCGACGAUCCCUAGCUGGUCUGAGAGGAUGACCAGCCACACUGGAACUGAGCCACGGUCCAGACUCCUACGGGAGGCAGCAGUGGGGAAUAUUGCACAAUGGGCGCAAGCCUGAUGCAGCCAUGCCGCGUGUAUGAAGAAGGCCUUCGGGUUGUAAAGUACUUUCAGCGGGGAGGAAGGGAGUAAAGUUAAUACCUUUGCUCAUUGACGUUACCCGCAGAAGAAGCACCGGCUAACUCCGUG